GUCCUAUAGAAUUUAUUUUAGGUCUUGCCUGCCCAAUGAUUUUUAAAUGGCCGCGGUAUUUUGACCGUGCAAAGGUAGCAUAAUCAUUUGUCUCUUAAUUAGAGGCUGGAAUGAAUGGUUUGAUGAAAAACGUUCUUUAUUAUUUAAAUUUAUUAAAUUUUAUUUUUGAGUUAGAAAGCUUAAAUUUUUUUAUGGGACGAGAAGACCCUAUAGAACUUUACUUUUUCUUAUUUUGAAAAUUUAUAGUUUCUCAUAAACUUUUUUAAUGUAAGUUUUAGUUUGGUUGGGGCGACCUUGGUUUAUUUAUAACUACCAAAUUUUAUUUUCAAUGAUUUUUGUAUUAAUGAUCCAUAUUAAUGAUUAAUAGUUUAAGUUACCUUAGGGAUAACAGCGUAAUUUAAUUAGAGAGUUCUUAUCGAUAAUUAAGUUUGCGA
RNAcentral lists this ribosomal RNA (434 nucleotides) under Micronecta sp. Its description in RNAcentral is "partial large subunit ribosomal RNA". It matches the Rfam family "Bacterial large subunit ribosomal RNA", at positions 1829 to 2523 of the family's 2925-position model. The record is from RNAcentral. Lineage: Eukaryota; Metazoa; Arthropoda; Insecta; Hemiptera; Micronectidae.